GUCGAGAAUCUUCCCCAAUGGGCGAAAGCCUGAGGGAGCGACGCCGCGUGAGGGAUGAAGGCCCUUUGGGUUGUAAACCUCUGUUAGGGGGAAAGAAAAGCAGUGGAAGCAAUAUGUCCAUUGCCUGACGUUACCCCCAGAGAAAGCUCCGGCCAACUCCGUGCCAGCAGCCGCGGUAAUACGGGGGGAGCAAGCGUUGUCCGGAAUCAUUGGGCGUAAAGGGCGUGUAGGCGGCUUGGCAAGUCGAAUGUGAAAUCCCACGGCUCAACCGUGGAACUGCGUUCGAAACUGCCUUGCUUGAGUGCGGGAGAGGUGGGCGGAAUUCCUGGUGUAGCGGUGGAAUGCGUAGAUAUCAGGAAGAACACCGGUGGCGAAGGCGGCACACUGGCCCAGCACUGACGCUGAGGCGCGAAAGCGUGGGGAGCGAACGGGAUUAGAAACCCGGGUAGUCC
RNAcentral lists this ribosomal RNA (452 nucleotides) under uncultured bacterium. RNAcentral describes it as "partial 16S ribosomal RNA". It matches the Rfam family "Bacterial small subunit ribosomal RNA", at positions 354 to 796 of the family's 1533-position model. The record is from RNAcentral.